AAAAAACCCUUUAAUUGACAGAAACGGUGUGGUCUCUUAAAACCCCGCCCCACAAACAUCCAAAGUAGAAACGGUAAUGGGAAGAAAGUUGGAGUAUUGGUUUCGAAAAUAAUUCUCCCAAGAACAAUCUCAAAUAUGAAUAUCGAGUAGAAAGGAUUUAGGGCAUAUUCAAACUCCUUUUCAACGAAUUCAACUCAUUCACUCGUUAAUCACUAGGUAAAGAUGAUUAAAAUGUUUUGAUGUUGGAGUCAUUUCUAGAUGAUUUUUUUACAUUUGAAGUGGAAACUUAGGAGCUAAUUGGUAAAUGGUAAUGUCAUUUCAUACUUUAUCUUGAAGGUUUCUUUUCAUGAGUUGAACAUUGUAAACUUGACUUUUUCUGCGUUCUUUGUGAGAAUAAGAAAGUUUGCUAGUUCAAAUUGUUAAUGAAAGGAUCAACUUGCAAUUCCAAGGUAUGGUUUCGUCUCCUGGACUCAUGUUUGGUGUGUUUUUGGUUACUUUUCUAUUAUUUGAAGCACAGUAAUUGAUCUGAAUGGAGCCACAGCUGACGAUUUUUGUAUGCAUAUUGGUGAAAGGUUCUCGAAGGAGAUGGUGAUGACUUUAGCAGGAACUCCAGCAAUUCGACCGUCCAUUUCUCUCAUAAAAGCUUUGGAGCUGAAAAGCUGUUUCGACAUUGGCUUCAGAUCCUUUGAGCACCUCAAACAAGCCCAUGCACGCCUUUUACGCCUUGGGUUGUGCCAAGAAAAUCACCUCCUCGACACCCUUUUGGGAUAUUACACUCAAUUUGGCAACACCCAUUAUUCCAAACUUAUUUUCGAUCAAACCAAUGAGCCCAAUAUCUUUCUUUUUCAUACAAUUAUUAAAGGGUUGGUUUCAAAUGACUUAUUUGAAGAAGCUAUCAAAUACUACCAAUCUAUGCGUUCAAAGAGCUUGUUGCCCAAUAGAUUUACUAUUUCAUUCGCCCUGAAAGCCUGUGCUAGGAUUUAUGACUAUCGGUCGGGAUUGAAAAUCCAUAGCCUUGUUGUAAAAUUGGGUUUUGAUAAAUAUGUGUUUGUUAAUAAUAGUCUGGUGUCCAUGUACUCAAAAUGUGGGAGUAUAUACGAUGCCCAUAAAGUAUUUGAUAAUAUGCCGGAGAAAGAUUCACUCUCUUGGAAUGUUAUUAUUAGUGGGUAUCAUGAUGUUGGGAAAUUUUCGGAAGUUUUGAGCUUGUUUAGAGGAUUUUUGAGAAAUGGUUUGAAACCAGAUGAAUUAACUCUUGCUAGGAUUCUUUGUGCUUGUGCAGAGCUGGGCGCGCUUGAAUUUGGUGAGUGGAUUCACAGGUAUAUUAACUUAAAUGGCUUAGUAAAAGAUUUGGCUCUAAAUACCUCGUUGAUUUACAUGUAUACCAAGUGUGGAUGUAUGGACAAAGCACGGGGUAUCUUUGAUCAAAUGCUUGAAAAGGAUGUAGUUGCUUGGACUUCUAUUAUUCAAGGGUAUGUGGUAAAUGGUUUUGCAAAGGAAGCAAUAGACAUGUUCUUUGAAAUGGAGAGAGAGAAUGUAAAGCCUGAUUGCUACGCCAUUGUUGCCAUGGUACAUGCGUGUACAAGGCUUGGAGCAAUGAAAUUGGGAGAGCGGGCAAUCAACUCCCUUAAGUGGGAAGAAGUGGUGGCCAACCUUCCUCUUGGAAAAACCAUAAUUGACAUGUAUGCUAAAUGUGGGAAUUCUAACUCUGCAUGGAAAGUUUUUAAAGAGAUGAAGGAGAGAGACAUUGCAGUUUGGACUUCUACAAUGUCUGGCCUAUUCAUGAAUGGGCAUGCUAAAGUUGCAUUUGGUCUUUUUGCCCAGAUGGUAAAAUUUGGUCUCCAACCAAAUGGUAGUACUUUCAUAGGCCUGCUAAACCUUCGUGUCUGUGGUAAACGUCAUUCAGCAAUCAAGAUCAUUUCAGGGAUUACUAGAAGAGCGAUUGUGCUAAGAGACACGAACCUCCAUUGCUUUAUUGUCGGGACAUGUUUGUGUAAAGAUUAUCGGUAAAGUUUCAAUACAUACGGCAAACUUCUUGGUUGGAUGACAAUAUAACCAAGACAAACAGCAUAGCUCUGUCCUCUGUGAACUUUACAAAUAUACGCGGAAGUUUUUACAGAUGCAAAAGAAAGAAGGUGAUGUUUAGUUGAAUACUUUUUGUGCAGCAAACAUUUCUAUGGGAAAUCUUGCUACUGUAUCUCUUGCUUUCCCCUUUUUGUGACUCUAAGCUAAAACCAAAAUUCUGAUGAUUCUAAGGAUCAUAUUCCUUUGUUUCUGUAUCUCUUGCUUCCCCCUUUUUCCUACAUCGAUUCUUACUCUAUUUUAUACUUCACCAAACUUCAUGAGUAAUGAAGUUGAUGAUAAUGAAGAUAAAGCUGAAUUUUGGAUAAGCUUCCUGAAAUGUUUUCAGGUUCUCUCUCCCUCUUUUUCUUUUCCAGAAUAUAUUUAUAUCUGCUGCAUUAUUUCCCAGUGGUGACUUGGAAAUGGGGGAUUUAGGGCUCAUUUCUCUCACAUUUUCACUGUAAAUUUGUUAAAAAUAGCUAACAUUUUUUUUUCAGAUGCAACCAUUUAAUAAUGUAUCCCUAUCAGAUCUUAAAAGUUUUGGUAAAUCUUUGAGUUCUUUUAUAUAUUAGAAAGUUUAUUUGUUACUUCAUAGACAAAUAAAUUCUACUUUUUUUUUCUUUUUAUUUACUUUUGUGAAUAUGAGACUGAAACCAACAGGGAAUUGGGGCAGAUUUUCUCUGGGUUAAAAAAAAUUUUGAUGAUAAUAUAUCUAAGUCUUCUUUUAUAGAUUAUUAUGGGUGUAUCAUAAUUGCUUUUGUUAUAGUGCUAGGUGACCUAUCUUCAAUAAUGCAUGGGACAUAUAUAUGUGUUUUUCAGUCACCGUGUUUUGGCAAUUAUGCUAUGCCACGAACUGGAAAGAAGUUUUGAUUCAAUCGGAACAUAUUCAGUAAGUUAUCUUAUGUAUUCUGAGUUAAGGAAUAAAGGGAGACCAAUGCUACAGUUUUGAUGAGAUAAAUCAAGAAGUAGUGCUUUUUGUGGAGGAAACAAAGACCAAUUGAGAGCACAUUUGGUCAGCAUGUUAACAUCCACUGGACACAGAACGGAAUGAGUUUUAUCAUUUACUCCCCCACCUUAUUUGAUACUUUUCCAUUUACUUUUUCAGAUUUAAACAAAACCUUGCGCUAGAUGAUUUGAAGGUUUAUUAGGAAGCGCUUCUAAACAUUGAUGUAUCAGCUGGAUUCGCUCGCCUCUGACCUCUGAGACUAGUAUAGAUUAUGAAUCAAAUAAAGACCUUACCUAGAGCAAUUGAUCAAGUAUCAAUAAACAAUUCAAACGAUCUUGAACAUUGAAGAUAGUUCUUCGUUCCAGAUUCGAGUGGCAGGUACUUCAUUUGAUCAUUCAUUUUCAGAUUCUCCAGGUCACAAGAUCCCCAACUUUUAACCAGGAUGAACAGCUAUUUAUAAUGCUAUCAAAUGGAUUCAUAGGCAUUCACGAAAGAGAAAUUCUUUGUGCAAUGCUUCUGCUCUUUUUAUAAAUUUUUUGAGGCAAUAUAGUCUUGUUAUGCUUCACGAUUUGAUAACCUUCGACUGCAUGAACUCCUGUAUCGGCCUACUCAAUGUGUUUCUGCAUUCUCGACUAUAACUAUAUUUGGUAAGCCAGAGUUGGAACUCUUGGAAGUAUUGGAGUUGAGAACUGAUGAUGUGCACAGCGGCUCGGCAGAGUAGCAGUUGAAGUAAUUUGUAUGAUUCUAUGCACAAAGAUAUGCAAUUAUGCCGAGCAGGCGAGCAGGGCAGUGGUAGUUUGUAUGAUACUCCCUCCGUCUUUUUAUUAAAAACCUUUAUUUUAUUUUGGGGAGCCCAAAAUUAAGAGCUUAUUUCUAUUUUAAGGUUAGUACUGUUUGAGAAUUCUCCUCUUUUUGAUGAGUUAUCACUUUUUUUUUGUACUGAUGACAUCAAUUUCCAACACUUUAUCUCCCUCUCUUCAAUUAUUCCCAACCACUUUUUUAUUCCUCUCUAUCUCUCUCUAACCCUACAUGCAUUUAUGUACUUCUACUAACUUUUUUAAUUCCCGUGAAAACCCAAAUAGUCUCUUAAUUAAGAGACGGAGGAAAUAAUAUUUACAAAUAUGUUUUACUUCGGUAGGAUAAAUGUAUGAAAUAUUAUCAUUUAGAUAUUGUAACAUUUACAUGAAAGAAACACUGUGAAAGUUUGUAUGAUGGAAUUAUAAAAAAUUUCAUAAUAUUGUACUCCUAUCCGAUUUAUUUUGGUUACCCAUUAAAUGUCUUCUUUUGUUAUGUACAUUUAACCUAUUAACUUACUCUUUUCCCACUCUAAAUAAGAUACAAAUUGAUUACUCUCUCCGUUGUUGUUUUUUUUU
Molecule: RNA transcript, 4377 nt
Organism: Chenopodium quinoa (quinoa)
Lineage: Eukaryota; Viridiplantae; Streptophyta; Magnoliopsida; Caryophyllales; Amaranthaceae
Gene name: putative pentatricopeptide repeat-containing protein At3g08820
Exons: 3
Source: RefSeq, a predicted model, not a curated record